UACGUAGGGACCAAGCGUUGUUCGGAUUUACUGGGCGUAAAGGGCGCGUAGGCGGCAAAUUAAGUCAUCUGUAAAAUCUCCGAGCUUAAUUCGGAACGGUCAGGUGAUACUGAUCUGCUAGAGUGCGGAAGGGGCAAUCGGAAUUCUUGGUGUAGCGGUGAAAUGCGUAGAUAUCAGGAGGAACACCAAUUGCGAAGGCAGCUCGCUGGGACGUGACUGACGCUGAGACGCGAAAGCGUGGGGAGCAAACAGG
Molecule: ribosomal RNA, 253 nt
Filed under: uncultured bacterium
Lineage: Bacteria
Description: partial 16S ribosomal RNA
Rfam family: Bacterial small subunit ribosomal RNA
Source: RNAcentral